GGCGGAUGGGUGAGUAACACGUGGGUAACCUGCCCUAAAGUCUGGGAUACCACUUGGAAACAGGUGCUAAUACCGGAUAACAACAAUAGCUGCAUGGCUAUUGCUUAAAAGGCGGCGAAAGCUGUCGCUAAAGGAUGGACCCGCGGUGCAUUAGCUAGUUGGUAAGGUAAUGGCUUACCAAGGCGACGAUGCAUAGCCGAGUUGAGAGACUGAUCGGCCACAUUGGGACUGAGACACGGCCCAAACUCCUACGGGAGGCAGCAGUAGGGAAUCUUCCACAAUGGGCGAAAGCCUGAUGGAGCAACGCCGCGUGAGUGAAGAAGGUUUUCGGAUCGUAAAGCUCUGUUGUUGGUGAAGAAGGAUAGAGGUAGUAACUGGCCCCUAUUUGACGGUAAUCAACCAGAAAGUCACGGCUAACUACGUGCCAGCAGCCGCGGUAAUACGUAGGUGGCAAGCGUUGUCCGGAUUUAUUGGGCGUAAAGCGAGCGCAGGCGGAAAGAUAAGUCUGAUGUGAAAGCCCCCGGCUUAACCGAGGAAUUGCAUCGGAAACUGUGUUUCUUGAGUGCAGAAGAGGAGAGUGGAACUCCAUGUGUAGCGGUGGAAUGCGUAGAUAUAUGGAAGAACACCAGUGGCGAAGGCGGCUCUCUGGUCUGUAACUGACGCUGAGGCUCGAAAGCAUGGGUAGCGAACAGGAUUAGAUACCCUGGUAGUCCAUGCCGUAAAC
Molecule: ribosomal RNA, 724 nt
Filed under: uncultured bacterium
Lineage: Bacteria
Description: bacterial SSU rRNA
Rfam family: Bacterial small subunit ribosomal RNA
Source: RNAcentral